Molecule: unclassified non-coding RNA, 301 nt
Organism: Myotis lucifugus (little brown bat)
Lineage: Eukaryota; Metazoa; Chordata; Mammalia; Chiroptera; Vespertilionidae
Gene: 7SK
Rfam family: 7SK RNA
About the family: 7SK was discovered as an abundant small nuclear RNA in the mid-70s but a possible function has only recently been suggested.
Source: Ensembl
GGAUGUGAGGGCGAUCUGGCUGCGACAUCUGUCACCCCAUUGAUCGCCAGGGUUGAUUCGGCUGAUCUGGCUGGCUAGGCGGGUGUCCCCCUCCUCCCUCACCGAUCCAUGUGCGUCCCUCCCAAAGCUGCGCGCUCGGUCGAAGAGGACGACCUCCCCCCAGGAGAGGACCGGUCUUCGGUCAAGGGUAUACGAGUAGCUGCGCUCCCCUGCUAGAACCUCCAAACAAGCUCUCAAGAAAUGAUGAGUGGAAAACUCCAGCUCAGACACUGGCACAGAGAUGAACUAUUGCCCUUAUUGU